This 244-nucleotide ribosomal RNA is filed under the name uncultured Staphylococcus sp. Its description in RNAcentral is "partial 16S ribosomal RNA". It matches the Rfam family "Bacterial small subunit ribosomal RNA", at positions 96 to 334 of the family's 1533-position model. Lineage: Bacteria; Bacillati; Bacillota; Bacilli; Caryophanales; Staphylococcaceae. The record is from RNAcentral.
CGGCGGACGGGUGAGUAACACGUGGAUAACCUACCUAUAAGACUGGGAUAACUUCGGGAAACCGGAGCUAAUACCGGAUAAUAUAUUGAACCGCAUGGUUCAAUAGUUAAAGACGGUUUUGCUGUCACUUAUAGAUGGAUCCGCGCCGCAUUAGCUAGUUGGUAAGGUAACGGCUUACCAAGGCAACGAUGCGUAGCCGACCUGAGAGGGUGAUCGGCCACACUGGAACUGAGACACGGUCCAG